RNAcentral lists this transfer-messenger RNA (352 nucleotides) under Terriglobia. Its description in RNAcentral is "Acidoferrum sp003224525 Standard tmRNA". It matches the Rfam family "transfer-messenger RNA". From Rfam's summary of the family: Bacterial tmRNA, also known as 10Sa RNA or SsrA, is named for its dual tRNA and mRNA-like properties. Its role is to liberate the mRNA from a stalled ribosome. To accomplish this part of the tmRNA is used as a reading frame that ends in a translation stop signal. The record is from RNAcentral. Lineage: Bacteria; Pseudomonadati; Acidobacteriota. RNAcentral also lists the same sequence under 3 other names.
GGGGGCGACACGGUUUCGACGGAAGCUGUCGCGGCCCGAAGGCAUGCCGGGACCCACCUGCCCGUAACUUGGUGGAAACUAGAAAUGCCAACAACAACUUGGCACUUGCUGCUUAAUUAAUUAAGCGCACGCUUCCCCGGGCUUUGCUCAUGGGCCCGGUCAGAGGCGUCACACAGUGAGCUGGCCUGAGCCUUUCGGUCCGUAAGGCUCGGGCGAGAACCAUCGGACUAGCCGGCUGCGUUUCUUGCUCAUUCUGAGCGUGGCGGGCGAAACAAAUGGAAUUGAGCUAAGCAUGUAGGCUUCGUGUCGUAGGGCUUUUCGGACGGGGGUUCGACUCCCCCCGCCUCCACCA